This 236-nucleotide long non-coding RNA is filed under the name Nicotiana benthamiana. RNAcentral's name for it is "long non-coding RNA (NBEN_LNC001016)". Lineage: Eukaryota; Viridiplantae; Streptophyta; Magnoliopsida; Solanales; Solanaceae. The record is from RNAcentral.
CAUGAAACCGAACUGGUUCACAGAUAUAGAUGUCAUCUCCCUCACCCUCGCCUCGAUCACCGCUCCCAAUCCUUCAUGGUGUGACUUAUUAAUUUGAUACCCCUAUAUUGUUGCAGCACUGGAUGUCCCAUUUGUUUUUGUACAAGGGCACCACUGUACUCCACCUCCAUUCCUCCCAGUGUUUUUGAUAGCGCGCGGCGACAAAUAGCGACGAGGGCUCGCUUCAGUGAGGCGAG